GACGAACGCUGGCGGCGCGCCUAACACAUGCAAGUCGAACGAGCGAGAGGAGGUUUACUUUCUCAAGCGAGUGGCGAACGGGUGAGUAACGCGUGAGGAACCUGCCUCAAAGAGGGGGACAACAGUUGGAAACGACUGCUAAUACCGCAUAAGCCCACGACCCGGCAUCGGGUAGAGGGAAAAGGAGCAAUCCGCUUUGAGAUGGCCUCGCGUCCGAUUAGCUAGUUGGUGAGGUAAUGGCCCACCAAGGCGACGAUCGGUAGCCGGACUGAGGGGUUGAACGGCCACAUUGGGACUGAGACACGGCCCAGACUCCUACGGGAGGCAGCAGUGGGGAAUAUUGCACAAUGGGGGAAACCCUGAAGCAGCGACGCCGCGUGGAGGAAGAAGGUCUUCGGAUUGUAAACUCCUGUUGUUGAGGAAGAUAAUGACGGUACUCAACAAGGAAGUGACGGCUAACUACGUG
RNAcentral lists this ribosomal RNA (466 nucleotides) under uncultured bacterium. Its description in RNAcentral is "partial 16S ribosomal RNA". It matches the Rfam family "Bacterial small subunit ribosomal RNA", at positions 28 to 507 of the family's 1533-position model. The record is from RNAcentral.